UGCAGCAAGUCAGCAGUGGUGGAAAUGGAAACGAGGUGGAUAUAAAGGAUACAUAAGAGAUAAAAUCAACAGAAUGCACAGAAGGCAGUAGAAACACAGCCAGAAGGAAGGCAAUGGGAUGAACACUAGAAGCUGAGUUUGGAGUGAUGCGGCCACAAGGAAAGGAACACCAAUACCAUCUGGAAGCUGGAGGAAGCAAGAGAUUCUCCCUGCAGUCUCCAGAAGGAACCAGCCCUGCUAACGCCUUGACUUCAUCCCCAUAAUCUUCAUUUCAGACUCCUGAAAGCUAGAACUGUACAUUUGGCUGCAGAGACAGAUCUGAACACAGGGAGAACACCAUGUGAAGAUGAAGGUAGAGAUUGGGAUGCUGUUCUUACAAACCAAGGUACACAAGAUUGCCAGCAAAUCACCAGAAACCAGAGCAGAGGUAUGGAACAGAUCCUUUAUCAUAGUCCUUAGAAGGAAACAACCCUGCUGACACCCUGGACUUGGACUUCUGACCUCCAGAACUGUGAGACAAUUAAUUUCUGUCAUCUAAGUCACUCAGUUGGCAGUAUUUUGUUAUGGCAGUACUUAAUAAAAGCACCAAUGGUGAUGGUGAUAAUAUCAAUAAUAAUAGCAACUCUGGUUGCUUUU
Phyllostomus hastatus (greater spear-nosed bat) is the source of this 636-nucleotide long non-coding RNA. RefSeq lists it as uncharacterized. NCBI's taxonomy places the organism in Eukaryota, Metazoa, Chordata, Mammalia, Chiroptera, Phyllostomidae. The transcript is spliced from 3 exons. The record is from RefSeq and is a predicted model, not a curated record.